Molecule: long non-coding RNA, 4990 nt
Filed under: Sus scrofa (pig)
Lineage: Eukaryota; Metazoa; Chordata; Mammalia; Artiodactyla; Suidae
Description: lncRNA (ENSSSCG00040033184.1)
Source: RNAcentral
ACUUUUUUUUUUUAUAAUUUUUUUAUUUUCCCACUGUACAGCAAGGGGGUCAGGUUAUCCUUACAUGUAUACAUUACAAUUACAUUUUUCCCCCACCCUUUCUUCUGUUGCAACAUGAGUGUCUGGACAUAGUUCUCAAUGCUAUUCAGCAGGAUCUCCUUGUAAAUCUAUUCUAAGUUGUGUCUGAUAAGCCCAAGCUCCCAAUCCCUCCCACUCCCUCCCCCUCCCAUCAGGCAGCCACAAGUCUCUUCUCCAAGUCCAUGAUUUUCUUUUCUGAGGAGAUGUUCAUUUGUGCUGGAUAUUAGAUUCCAGUUAUAAGUGAUAUCAUAUGGUAUUUGUCUUUGUCUUUCUGGCUCAUUUCACUCAGUAUGAGACUCUCUAGUUCCAUCCAUGUUGCUGCAAAUGGCAUUAUGUCAUUCUUUUUUAUGGCUGAGUAGUAUUCCAUUGUGUAUAUAUACCACAUCUUCUGAAUCCAAUCAUAUGUUGAUAGACAUUUGGGUUGUUUCCAUGUCCUGGCUAUGCAAUGAACAUGCGGGUGGAUGUGUCUCUUUUAAGUAGAGUUUUGUCCGGAUAGAUGCCCAAGAGUGGGAUUGUGGGGUCAUAUGGAAGUUCUAUGUAUAGAUUUCUAAGGUAUCUCCAAACUGUUCUCCAUAGUGGCUGUGACAGUUUACAUUCCCACCAGCAGUGCAGGAGGGUUCCCUUUUCUCCACAACUCCUCCAGCACUUGUUAUUUGUGGAUUUAUUAAUGAUGGCCAUUCUGACUGGUGUGAGGUAGUAUCUCAUGGUAGUUUUGAUUUGCAUUUCUCUUAUAAUCAGCAAUGUUGAGCAUUUUUUCAUGUGUUUGUUGGCCAUCUGUAUAUCUUGAAAGAAGCUUUUGAUAAUUUUAUUAGGGAUGGCUAUUUCUGGACCAGCAGAAAAAAAGGUAAAGGGAAGGGAUUAUAUUUGCUAAGUGCCUACUAUGUGCCAGGCAGGAGGCAUGUAUCAAAUUAUUUAAUUCUUAAAACAGCACAGACAUAGAGACACUAUCACCCUCAUUUUAUGUUUGUUUGUUUGGGUCUUUUUGUCUUUUAGGGCUGCACCCACAGCUUAUGGAAGUUCCCGGGCCACGGGUCGAAUUAGAACUACAGCUGCUGGCCUACACCAGAGUCACAGCAAUGCGGGAUCUGAGCCACGUCUGCAACAUACAGCACAGCUCAUGGUAACACCAGAUCGUUAACCUACUGAGCAAGGCCAGGAAUGAACCUGCGUCCUCAUGGAUGCUAACCGCUGAGCCACGAAGGGAACGCUCUUAUAUAUUUUUUAAAAAAAUUCAAAGAAGUUAAAUAAAUUGACCAAAGUCACCCAGAUAAUAAGUAGAAAAGCUAGAAAUGAAAUUCAGGUUGGCCUGGCCUAAAAGUCAGUCAUCUUUUCAAGGCAGCAGUAAGAAAUAUUUCCAGAGAGCUUGAGAAAAUAGCUCCAAGAAUUCUAACUUCUGGAUCUAGUGUUUUGUUUCCAGGUAACGUGAGAAACAUUUUCCAAUUGCCUGACUACUUCAUAAUAGAGGAAAUGAAAACAAAUUGCACUACUUGGCCUUUAUUGUGUGUUUCAUAAGAGAGGCAGGAGAGAGGGUUUUAUUCUAGGAAAAAAAGAAUGUACUAUAUUCCAAGUCAAGAUGUGUCUAUAAAGGGUAAAUGAUUUGGCCUUUUAGGUGAGAGCCAAUGCAUGUGAAAAACAUUUUGCAAUUUGAUUCCCGCUGACCAAUGGUCACUGCUCAAACGUUCUCCUCCCUCUCCUCACAUCUCUGUGUCUGUCUACCUGUUGCCUUUUUAUGGAUAUUUCACUGUCAAAACCAGCUUGGUAUUCACCAUUUUAGCUGCACUUCCUCCAGCCCCCAUCUCUGUCAUAAUGGGAGAGAACGUCCCCUCCAGACCUCUGCCAUUUGCUCAGGAGAUGAAAACAACCAUCCUCAAGGCCCUUUCUUAGCUCCCCUGCCCUGUCCACUCCCUGUUUCACCACCUUCAGGCAGCUUCCAGCCUAAGAGCAAGACACUGUCUUUUUCUCUAAGCCUCUCAGCUGUCAUCUCUAUCUCCAGCUGGUAUCACCAUGGUGAAAAGAAAUCUCGAUCGAAACUCAAGAGGGGACGGAACACCACUUAUUAAGCAGGAAUCUAUGAAUAUUGAUUUGGGAUUGUCCAAGAUGGUUUUAUCCGUCAAGAUCAAGAAAUGAAGUGUUGGAGUCAACCAGCUUUUUCUUAUAAUUAGUUAUCACUUGUCAUAUACAUAUCAGACCCAUUUUCAAAGAGGCAGAAGGUAAAUAUGGUUUUGUUUGUUUUGUUUUGUUUUUGCUUUUUAGGGCUGUACCUGCAGCAUACGGCAGUUUCCAGACUAGGGGUCGAAUCAGAGCUGCAGCUGCCAGCCACACCCAUAGCCACAGCAAUGCCAGAUCUGAGCCAUUGUCUGUGACCUACACCACAACUCAUGGCAGCACUGGAUCCUUAAGCCACUGAGGAAGGCCAGGGAUCAAACCCGAAUCCUCAUGGAUACUAGUCAGAUUCAUUACCACUGAGCCAUCAUAGGAACUCCACACAUUCCUUUUUAAAAUAUAUAUAUUCCUUUCCAUUCCAUAAUGGUUUAUCAUAGGAAACUCCAUAAACAGACUUUUGUGAAUUUUUUUUUUCUAUGUUUGCCUCCGGAUUUAUUUUAUGGCCUUCUCUGCCUUGCUAUGAGAUCCAAGAUGCCAAACUCUAUCUAAAAAGUGACAUCACUCAGCCUUUCUAGCUUCUGGCUCCAGUUGUGUGCAGCUGUUCAGAAGCAUCAACGGGAGAUGCUAGGGAAGAAGAAAAGGGUUGAGGGUAUUGCCCGUGCAUCUCCCAGGACUCUGGUCCUCACUGGGCUGCAGUAACUUGUUCCCUUUGCCCCACAGUCCCAGGAGGUGGGAACAGCUUCCCACUAUUGCUAAGCCCUGGGUGCUUCUACCUCCAUCACUGGUUCCUUUAACAUAGUCCCUCUUCCAUAAAUAGCCCCUUCAUUAAACACAAUUCAGCUAACCCUUCGAGAAGGGCACUUCCCUCCUCUAGAACCCUAACUGACAUCACUUCAGUUGCCCUCUGUAUUUAGUGAGUGGUUACUCUGUGCUCUUCUAAGAACUAUGACAAAUGCAAAAGAAAAAUUCAAGACAUGCUGCUGGUCCCUGCCAUGCUUGAAAAUCCAGUUAGGGACAUGAAACUAUCAAAAGGCUAUCAUACUUGGACUCUCAAUGGAGGCAGUAUCUCCAAAGGCCUAAACUCAUCCCAUGCCUCUCCCUACCCUCAAACCUGCACCAGAACACACCAGUCCUUAGUCCCGUUCACUUAGGGCCAGGGCAGUCAUCUAGGACAUUGUGGCCAGCUGUGUGGCUCUGCACUUACAGAUCAGCUCUGGACACCUUUUGCCCCGCCCCUCCAUGCCCACUUUAUCAUGAAGUCCUGCAGAUUCUCCUUCUUACAAUCUCUCAAACUCAUCCAACAUCUCGUUAGUGCCUCCAACCUACUCUAGUUGAAUCUGGGGUUAUUUCUCAUCCCAAUGUUUAUAAGAACCUUCUCAAUGCUCCCCUAGACUCUGGUCUUGCCUCCCCUUCCUUCCAGGCCAUGCUUCACCAUGAGGCCAGAGGGAUCUCUGUUACAUUGUUCCACUGCUCCAGACCCUCCCUGGAUAAAGUCUAAACACAAUAAUGGCUUCACUCUGACUGCGACAACCUUUGUGGACUCUUGACAUAGUCUUCCCAUAGACUGCUCCAAAGAGACUGACUUCUUCCAGUUCUUUAAUGGAACUGGGUUUUUUCCUUGCUUCGUACCCAGACUUACACUAUUUCCUCUGCCAAGAAUCCAUUCACUGCCUCCCUACCCCAACCUUUUGCCUGGUUAACUUCUAUUUUAUGAUUCAAAUCUCAGCACGAACAUCACUUCCUUGGACAAUCGACCCCUGUUGCCCCCAUCUUCCCCCUCCAAGACCAGACUUUUGGGUUAGGUACUUUUCUUAUAAGGCAGCUCCCACAGCAUCCUUUACUUCCCUCAUCACUCUGUUAUAGUGUUGUUGUUGUUUCUCUCUCUCUCUUUUUUUGUCUUUCUAGGACCACACCCGCGGCAUAUGGAGGUUUCCAGACUAGGGGUCUAAUGGGAGCUAUAGCCGUCCAGUCUACGCCACAGCCACAGCAACUCGGGAUCCAAGCCGUGUCUGUGACCUACAUCACAGCUCACGGCAACACCAGAUCCUUAACCCACUGAGAAAGGCCAGGGAUUGAACCCACAAUCCUCAUGGAUGACAGCUGGGUUCAUUAACUGCUGAACCAUGAUAGGAACUCCUACAGUGUUGUUUCGUAACUGCUGGCACGCUUGUACCUAUUCCCAACCUGAUGGUAAGCUGUGUCCAGGCAAGAAAUCUGUCACUGUGGCAGCCACAGCAUCAAAACUAUCUAUUGAAAAAGUGAAAUUAAGAAAAGGAAAGAAAUCUUAACCCAGUUUAAUGGACUGGCAAUGCUAAAAUUCCUAUUCUGGUAUUAUUCAGAAACAGAGGGAGUAUCUGUCAGCAGACACAGGCCCUGUAUGCCCAACUAGUUGUGUCUGCAGCUGUCUGUGCCCCAAACCCAUCCUCUACUAAGAAAGUAAAAUUCCACACAUGCAUCAAUGGAAGGGACAACAGGAACUGCUCUGUGAAACUUCCUCUCUCCCUUGUCCCCUUGGCCUGUAGGGGAUGGUUACUUGAAUAGAGAACUUCCGCCUGAUAGCUUGGGGUUAUUUUCAGAGGCUUCAUUAUCACAGCUGGAAAAUCCUGGGGCAGCUUUUGCAAACCAAAUGGAGUUCAAUUAUUCCAUCAAGAGCAAAGGAUCAAGACUACAAACAAUACUGAGAGUCAACGUUAGCAGAAAUCUCUCAGCACCCAGUUGAGUCCAACAUCUUGAAAUGCUCUUAGAAGAGGGGAAACUGAGACUUUCCUGGAAAGGUGUUUAGAGGUGUAGAUAACAGAAGAAAAUGACC